Molecule: unclassified non-coding RNA, 352 nt
Filed under: soil metagenome
Description: partial contains 5.8S ribosomal RNA, internal transcribed spacer 2, and large subunit ribosomal RNA
Rfam family: 5.8S ribosomal RNA (bases 1-120)
Source: RNAcentral
GAUGAAGAACGUAGCGAAAUGCGAUAAGUAAUGUGAAUUGCAGAAUUCAGUGAAUCAUCGAAUCUUUGAACGCACAUUGCGCCCGGUAGUAAUCUGCCGGGCAUGCCUGUCCGAGCGUCAUUUCAACCCUCGAACCACUAUUCGCGUAGCUGGAUCGGUGUUGGGGCACUACGGUGGAAUACCCGUAGGCCCCGAAAUGAAGUGGCGGUCCCGCCGUAGCCUCCUCCGCGUAGUAACACACCUCGCUCUGGGACUCGGCGCGGCCCGUGCCGUUAAACACCCCACUUCUCAAGGUUGACCUCGGAUCAGGUAGGAAUACCCGCUGAACUUAAGCAUAUCAAUAAGCGGAGGA